Molecule: unclassified non-coding RNA, 332 nt
Filed under: soil metagenome
Description: partial contains 5.8S ribosomal RNA, internal transcribed spacer 2, and large subunit ribosomal RNA
Rfam family: 5.8S ribosomal RNA (bases 1-120)
Source: RNAcentral
GAUGAAGAACGCAGUGAAAUGCGAUAAGUAAUGUGAAUUGCAGAAUUCAGUGAAUCAUCGAAUCUUUGAACGCACAUUGCGCCCGCCAGUAUUCUGGCGGGCAUGCCUGUUCGAGCGUCAUUUCAACCCUCAAGCACAGCUUGGUGUUGGGACUCGCGUUAAUUCGCGUUCCCCAAAUUGAUUGGCGGUCACGUCGAGCUUCCAUAGCGUAGUAGUAAAACCCUCGUUACUGGUAAUCGUCGCGGCCACGCCGUUAAACCCCAACUUCUGAAUGUUGACCUCGGAUCAGGUAGGAAUACCCGCUGAACUUAAGCAUAUCAAUAAGCGGAGGA